GUAGGGGCGCGGUAGGCGGCGGAGCAUAAGCAAAGGGGUUGCAGCUGCGGCGGUCGAGCGAGUCCGUCGUGGGGGUGUGAGUAGCGCUGCCCUCCCCCCCUUCCCUCCCCCCCUUUUUUUUUCCGACCCUUCCCCCUCCCUUUUUUUUUUUUUCUUCUCUAUCCUCUCCCCUCCCAUCCUCGCCGAGGGAGCCGGCGCUCGGAGAUGGGGCUCGGGUGCUGAGCCGCCAGCCUCCGCCCUCACACCCCCGCCGGAACUGUUUGCACUAACCCCGCACUCCUGGGCUUGUUCCCGCUGGGCUGAGCCUGCCAAUGAAGGCACAACCUCAAGGAGCUGCUAUGGGAGAUGCUCUACUGGCCCAGUUCAAGGGAUAAGUGCAGGCAUCCUGUGCUGGAGCUGCUCUGUCUGCACCACCCAUCCCACCUGUCUCCCAGUGCCACCCGACAGGGGCUGGUGACAGGCUGAUUUCCUUGGCCUCGGCUGCUGCUUUUGGAAGAGUCCCACUCGCUUGGCUCUCCCAUUGUGGGAGGACCAGAAAAGGAGGAUGGAUGAGGAGCAGGAUGAGCCUAC
This 570-nucleotide long non-coding RNA is filed under the name Camarhynchus parvulus. RNAcentral's name for it is "lncRNA (ENSCPVG00000011843.2)". The record is from RNAcentral. Lineage: Eukaryota; Metazoa; Chordata; Aves; Passeriformes; Thraupidae.